RNAcentral lists this ribosomal RNA (392 nucleotides) under uncultured Gammaproteobacteria bacterium. RNAcentral's name for it is "bacterial SSU rRNA". It matches the Rfam family "Bacterial small subunit ribosomal RNA", at positions 370 to 779 of the family's 1533-position model. Lineage: Bacteria; Pseudomonadati; Pseudomonadota; Gammaproteobacteria. The record is from RNAcentral.
AAUGGAGGAAACUCUGAUCCAGCAAUGCCGCGUGUGUGAUGAAGGCCUUAGGGUUGUAAAGCACUUUCAACGGUGAAGAUGAUGACGGUAGCCGUAGAAGAAGCCCCGGCUAACUUCGUGCCAGCAGCCGCGGUAAUACGAAGGGGGCGAGCGUUGUUCGGAAUUAUUGGGCGUAAAGGGCGCGCAGGCGGUUUGGAUAGUUAGACGUGAAAGCCCUGGGCUUAACCUAGGAACUGCGUUUAAUACUGCCAGACUAGAGAACUAGAGAGGAUAGCGGAACUCCCAGUGUAGAGGUGAAAUUCGUAGAUAUUGGGAAGAACAUCAGUGGCGAAAGCGGCUGUCUGGCUAGUUUCUGACGCUGAGGCGCGAAAGCGUGGGGAGCAAACAGGAUU